This 787-nucleotide small RNA is filed under the name Pongo abelii (Sumatran orangutan). RNAcentral describes it as "retained intron". Lineage: Eukaryota; Metazoa; Chordata; Mammalia; Primates; Hominidae. The record is from RNAcentral.
GACACUGAAAAUCAGUAGAAGAAAUACGCCACAUUUAUUCUACCGGGGAAGACAGUGGGAAGCCUGAAACUGCCAUUGAGCAGAAGGAAAACAUCCCUUUCCAGAACCUUUCUCGUUUUUCUAAAAAUCUGCACUUUUGGAAGUGAUCCCCCGAAGAGACCUCCAGACUCUACCAUGAGUGUCUCCAGCUGAACUCAUCAUGUCUAAUCCUCACCCUAGCUUAUCCUGUUCAAAUCGUUUCCAUCUUUUUCUGGAUGAACCUGGGCGGAUGUCAGACCAGAGAAGAGCACAGAAUGUACCAGAGAGAGUCUUGCUCUGUCACCCAGGCUGAAGUGCACCCAGGCUGAAGUUGGAGGCUAUGGUGAGCUGCACCACUGCACCACUAUGGGAGGCCGAGGCGAGCGGAUUGCCUGAGCUCAGGAGUUUGAGACCAGCCAGGGCAACGCUGUGAAACCCCAUCUCUACUAAAACACAAAAAAUUAGCCAGGCCUGGCGGCGUGUGCCUAUAGUCCCAGCUACUCAGGAGGCUGAGGCAGGAGAAUUGCUUGAACCCGGGAGGCAGAGGUUGCAGUGAGCCGAGAUUGCACCACUGCACUCCAGCCUAGGUGACAGAGUGAGACUCCGUCUCCAAAAAAAAAAAAAAAAAAAAAAAAUAUAUAUAUAUAUAUAUAUAUAUAUAUAAGGUGAAGGCCAAGCAGGGUGGCACAUACCUGUUGUCUCACCUACUCAAAAGGCUGAGACCAGAGAAGGAUUGCUGGAAGUGAGUUCAAAGCCAGCCUAGAGAAUA